CCUACGGGUGGCUGCAGUAGGGAAUAUUGCUCAAUGGGCGAAACCCUGAAGCAGCAACGCAGCGUGGAGGAUGAAUGUUUUAGGAUUGUAAACUCCUUUUGUUAGAGAAGUUUAUGACGGUAUCUAACGAAUAAUCUACGUCUAACUUCGUGCCAGAAGCCGUGGUAAUACGGAGGGUGCAAGCGUUACUCGGAAUCACUGGGCGUAAAGGGUGCGUAGGCGGGGUAAUAAGUCAGGUGUGAAAUCCUUUAGCUUAACCACAGAACUGCAUUUGAAACUGGUACUCUGGAGUGUGGGAGAGGUAGGCGGAAUGCUUGGUGUAGCGGUAAAAUGCGUAGAGAUCACGAAGAACACUCAUUGCGAAGGCGACCUGCUGGAACAUUACUGACGCUGAGGCACGAAAGCGUGGGGAGCAAACAGGAUUAGAUACCCGUGUAGUC
Molecule: ribosomal RNA, 440 nt
Filed under: uncultured bacterium
Lineage: Bacteria
Description: partial 16S ribosomal RNA
Rfam family: Bacterial small subunit ribosomal RNA
Source: RNAcentral